Molecule: ribosomal RNA, 253 nt
Filed under: uncultured bacterium
Lineage: Bacteria
Description: partial 16S ribosomal RNA
Rfam family: Bacterial small subunit ribosomal RNA
Source: RNAcentral
UACGUAGGGUGCGAGCGUUAAUCGGAAUUACUGGGCGUAAAGUGUGCGCAGGCGGCGCCGCAAGUCGAGUGUGAAAGCCCCGGGCUUAACUUGGGAAUUGCGCUCGAAACUAUGGUGCUCGAGUGUGGCAGAGGAAGGUGGAAUUCCAGGUGUAGCGGUGAAAUGCGUAGAGAUCUGGAGGAACACCGAUGGCGAAGGCAGCCUUCUGGGCCAACACUGACGCUCAUGCACGAAAGCGUGGGGAGCAAACAGG